RNAcentral lists this ribosomal RNA (408 nucleotides) under uncultured bacterium. Its description in RNAcentral is "bacterial SSU rRNA". It matches the Rfam family "Bacterial small subunit ribosomal RNA", at positions 507 to 917 of the family's 1533-position model. The record is from RNAcentral.
GUCAGCCGCCGCGGUAAUACGGAGGGUGCAAGCGUUAUCCGGAUUUAUUGGGUUUAAAGGGUCCGUAGGCGGAUCUGUAAGUCAGUGGUGAAAUCUCAUAGCUUAACUAUGAAACUGCCAUUGAUACUGCAGGUCUUGAGUAAAGUAGAAGUGGCUGGAAUAAGUAGUGUAGCGGUGAAAUGCAUAGAUAUUACUUAGAACACCAAUUGCGAAGGCAGGUCACUAUGUUUUAACUGACGCUGAUGGACGAAAGCGUGGGGAGCGAACAGGAUUAGAUACCCUGGUAGUCCACGCCGUAAACGAUGCUAACUCGUUUUUGGGCUUUCGGGUUCAGAGACUAAGCGAAAGUGAUAAGUUAGCCACCUGGGGAGUACGUUCGCAAGAAUGAAACUUAAAUGAAUUGACGGG